This 691-nucleotide long non-coding RNA is filed under the name Nicotiana benthamiana. RNAcentral describes it as "long non-coding RNA (NBEN_LNC030970)". The record is from RNAcentral. Lineage: Eukaryota; Viridiplantae; Streptophyta; Magnoliopsida; Solanales; Solanaceae.
AGUGGUUGCAAUCAGCUUGUUUUGUUUUCUGUUGAACAGAGGGCAUUGUUUCUUCUAGGAUCAUACUUACAUCCAGUACUUGCAAUUGCUUAAUGAUUAAGCUAGUGAGUUAACCAACAGGACUGAACAGCUAUAGCAGGUUAGUCUGAGGAUUUAGAAGGCUCCUAUCAUAUUAGUUGCCUAAGGAGAUGCCUUUUCCCAGCCUAUCCCCUUUCAAAUUGGUCUGGACUCUGGAGAUAUAUUUGCUUUCUCCAUCUGCUGUCUGACAACAAAAGAGAAGAUGAAAAUGUGUUCUUUUAGAUUCAGGCGCUGGUCAAAAAGGGUUUUCUUGAGCUUGAAAACUAUUGGCAGACCCGAGAGCAUGUGUGUUUAUGCCAUUUGGAUAGGGAAUGUACGUUUCUCAGUGUUUUGUAGAAUAUGCUUUACAAGUUCUUGCUUCGUACGUUGAGAUUCAAUAAGUCGCAGCAAUUUCAUAGAAGCAUUGAUUUUUUUUUUUGUGAAAAUGAAGUAUGCAUCAUCGAAUAAUCUCCUGAUAGUGAAAAGAUUAAUGAUGAAUAUCUGAAAAACAUUAAUAUAACAGGUUUGGUGUAAGGAAACUCUGCAAGGAUGGGUCGUGUACGCACCAAGACAGUGAAGAAGUCAUCUCGACAGGUAAUUGAGAAGUAUUACUCCAAAAUGACUUUGGAUUUCC